RNAcentral lists this ribosomal RNA (265 nucleotides) under uncultured prokaryote. RNAcentral's name for it is "partial 16S ribosomal RNA". It matches the Rfam family "Bacterial small subunit ribosomal RNA", at positions 524 to 788 of the family's 1533-position model. The record is from RNAcentral.
UACGUAGGUGGCGAGCGUUGUCCGGAUUUACUGGGCGUAAAGGGAGCGUAGGCGGACUUUUAAGUGAGAUGUGAAAUACCCGGGCUUAACUUGGGUGCUGCAUUUCAAACUGGAAGUCUAGAGUGCAGGAGAGGAGAAUGGAAUUCCUAGUGUAGCGGUGAAAUGCGUAGAGAUUAGGAAGAACACCAGUGGCGAAGGCGAUUCUCUGGACUGUAACUGACGCUGAGGCUCGAAAGCGUGGGGAGCAAACAGGAUUAGAUACUCG